This 348-nucleotide unclassified non-coding RNA is filed under the name Hevea brasiliensis (rubber tree). The record is from RNAcentral. Lineage: Eukaryota; Viridiplantae; Streptophyta; Magnoliopsida; Malpighiales; Euphorbiaceae.
CCUUGGCUCUCAAAUCAUGAAGAAAAAGAAGAACAAGAAGAUAAACAAAUUGAGACUAAAACUCAUAGCUUUUGGAUUCAAACCGUAAUGAAGGAAAAUAGCUUUUGGGACUCAAACCCAUAUCUUUGUGAAGAGACAAUAAGAAAGAAGAAACCCUAGAAUUUUCUGCUGGCUCUGAUACCAUGUUAAAGUUAGAACAAUAGAAGACAAAGGAGAAAAUAACAAGAGAUUUAUGUGGUUCGGCUAUUGAGAGCCUAUGUCCACAAACACAAAACCUCAAAGAGUUGCAUUUUAUUCAUUUUUGUUGUGUUUUACAUAAUACAUUGAACUCCAUAUUUAUAAUGGAAG